GAUCAUGGCUCAGAACGAACGCUGGCGGCAUGGAUUAGGCAUGCAAGUCGAACGAAGCAGCAAUGCUUAGUGGCGGAAGGGUGAGGAACGCGUGAGCAACCUGCCCUCAAGUUGGGAAUAACAGUUGGAAACGACUGCUAAUACCGAAUGUGGCUUUUUGGACCGCAUGGUUUGAAGGCUAAAGAUUUAUUGCUUGGGGAUGGGCUCGCGUCCCAUUAGCUAGUUGGUGAGGUAACGGCUCACCAAGGCGAUGAUGGGUAGCUGGUCUGAGAGGAUGGUCAGCCACACUGGGACUGAGACACUGCCCAGACUCCUACGGGAGGCUGCAGUCGAGAAUCUUGGGCAAUGCGCGAAAGCCGUGACCCAGCAAUGCCGCGUGCGGGAUGAAGGUCUUCGGAUUGUAAACCGCUGUCACCCGGGACGAAAGUUGACUGUACCGGGGGAGGAAGCCACGGCUAACUACGUGCCAGCAGCCGC
Molecule: ribosomal RNA, 477 nt
Filed under: uncultured bacterium
Lineage: Bacteria
Description: bacterial SSU rRNA
Rfam family: Bacterial small subunit ribosomal RNA
Source: RNAcentral